AAAUACUAUCCUAUGGUUUCGCACGUUUUCAUUUUAGUACCCUAUGCUUUAAAGUGUAUCAAUUUAGUAUCAUUUGGUUUCGCACUUUUUCAAUUUAGUACCCUGUGGUUUUAUUUUUGUCUUUUCGUCGGCUCCUCUGUUAAUAUUUCGUUAAAUUAUAUACAAAAAAUUUCAGAUACCCUAUCUAGGUUUAUAGAAUAUUUACUUUAGUAUCCGUUAGUUUUAACUUUGUCACUGAUUUUUUUUUCCUCCGUUAAUAUUUCGUUAAAUUAUAUACAAAAAAUUUUAGAUACCCUACCUAGGUUUAUCGAAUAUUCACUUUAGUACCCUUUAAUUUUAACUUUGUUGCUGAUUUAACGAAAAAAAUUAGUGAAAUGAAUAAAAAAAGAGAAAAAUAAAACCACAGGGUACUAACUUGAUACUCUUUAAACCACAGUGUACUAAAGUGAGAAAGUGCGAAACCAUAGAGGCUAACUUGAUACACUUUAAACUAUAUGGUACUAAAGUAGAAACGUGUGAAACCACAGGGGGGAAUUUGAAGUUUACGUAAAAUAUUAUUUCUUAGCUGUCCAACGUGACAGUCAAAUAAGCAGUAUAAUGUCAUUUUUGUAUUUUAAAUAUAUUUCUAUUUGGGAAAACUUCAAAAACCCCUCCUGUGGUUUCGUAGUUUCUUACUUUGCCCCCCUGUGGUUUUUUUUUUCUCUUUUUUUAUCAAUUUCAUUAGUUUUUUCUUAAAUCAGUGAUAAAGUUAAAAUUAAAUGGUACUAAAAUAAAUAUUUCAUAAAUCUAGAUGGGUAUCUGAAGUUUUUUGUAUAUAAUUUAAUAAAAUAUUAGCGAAAAAGCUACCGAAAAGAUAAAAACGAAACGACAGGGGGGGGCAAUUUGAUACAUUUUAAACCACAGAGGGGCAAAGUGAGAAACUAUGA
This 926-nucleotide long non-coding RNA is filed under the name Ananas comosus (pineapple). RNAcentral describes it as "long non-coding RNA (ACOM_LNC021445)". Lineage: Eukaryota; Viridiplantae; Streptophyta; Magnoliopsida; Poales; Bromeliaceae. The record is from RNAcentral.